Molecule: long non-coding RNA, 592 nt
Organism: Panthera uncia (snow leopard)
Lineage: Eukaryota; Metazoa; Chordata; Mammalia; Carnivora; Felidae
Exons: 3
Source: RefSeq, a predicted model, not a curated record
AGCAUCUCCAGGGAAGGCGGUGCUUUCCUAAAUUGUGUCUGAGAGGAGUAGAGGCUAUGCAGAAGGAAGGGUGGCAGAGAGUAUGGGCAGGAGGAAUAGGAAAAGACUCAGAGGCAGUCCACCACUCAGCAAAGGCAAGGCAUUCCUUGCCUUGUGUAAGGCAAGGAAUCCAGCGAGGAUGAGGCUGGAGGGCUCGGCAGGGGCUGGACUGAGUUAGGCUGAGUCAACCAGGCUGAAAUCUGCGAGGCGUGGAGAGAGGAUGGGAGUGGGAGACAGAGGCAGAAGCCAGCAGGGAGGUGCCUGCAUCCUCCAGAAGAAAGACGAUACAGAUACGCUGCAAGACAGGGGCCUGAAGGGAAGCAACCAUCGAAACAGAGAGAGCAAACGGGGGUCUACUUACGCACUCCAGGCCAGGAAGAAGACAGCGGUCAAGGUGUAGACUGCCAUGGGCAGACUGGUCCAAAGUUUUGGAGGCAGAGGCAUUUCCUGAGACCCAGCUUUGGAGUCCUUCUGCUCUAGGCAGACCCUGUCAAGUAACUGGAACUGUCAUGCAAAUUGAAGCAUAUGUGCCAUUCCUGGCAUUAACUGUAAA